RNAcentral lists this ribosomal RNA (186 nucleotides) under Triticum aestivum (bread wheat). RNAcentral's name for it is "partial small subunit ribosomal RNA". The record is from RNAcentral. Lineage: Eukaryota; Viridiplantae; Streptophyta; Magnoliopsida; Poales; Poaceae.
UAUGCUUACUUGCCUGAAGGGGAACGCUUUUAUAGCACUGGAUUGGCAGCCGUGUGCCGGGCCACCUGGAACUGCAGAAACCGAGCCACCUUUGAGUUUAAGAAACUUGCAUCUCCUUUUGAGAUUGUCUUUGCAGCAAGCGUUCAUUUAUCUUAUUGGGCAGGGCUACUGAAGGGAGGGGAUUGA